RNAcentral lists this ribosomal RNA (544 nucleotides) under uncultured bacterium. RNAcentral describes it as "bacterial SSU rRNA". It matches the Rfam family "Bacterial small subunit ribosomal RNA", at positions 777 to 1322 of the family's 1533-position model. The record is from RNAcentral.
AAUAGAUACCCGGGUAGUCCACCCCGUAAACGUUGGGAACUAGUUGUGGGGUCCAUUCCACGGAUUCCGUGACGCAGCUAACGCAUUAAGUUCCCCGCCUGGGGAGUACGGCCGCAAGGCUAAAACUCAAAGGAAUUGACGGGGACCCGCACAAGCGGCGGAGCAUGCGGAUUAAUUCGAUGCAACGCGAAGAACCUUACCAAGGCUUGACAUAUAGAGGAAACGUCUGGAAACAGUCGCCCCGCAAGGUCUCUAUACAGGUGGUGCAUGGUUGUCGUCAGCUCGUGUCGUGAGAUGUUGGGUUAAGUCCCGCAACGAGCGCAACCCUCGUUCUAUGUUGCCAGCACGUAAUGGUGGGAACUCAUGGGAUACUGCCGGGGUCAACUCGGAGGAAGGUGGGGAUGACGUCAAAUCAUCAUGCCCCUUAUGUCUUGGGCUUCACGCAUGCUACAAUGGCCGGUACAAAGGGCUGCAAUACCGUAAGGUGGAGCGAAUCCCAAAAGCCGGUCCCAGUUCGGAUUGAGGUCUGCAACUCGACCUCAUG